This 880-nucleotide ribosomal RNA is filed under the name Amphibacillus sp. RNAcentral describes it as "bacterial SSU rRNA". Lineage: Bacteria; Bacillati; Bacillota; Bacilli; Caryophanales; Bacillaceae. The record is from RNAcentral.
AGUCGAGCGCGUGARCUAAACKGAUCUCUUCGGAGUGACGUUUAGSGGAUCGMGCGGCGGAUGGGUGAGUAACACGUGGGCAACCUGCCUAUAAGACUGGGAUAACUUACGGAAACGUGAGCUAAUACCGGAUGAAACCUCUUAUCACCUGGUAAGAGGAUGAAAGAUGGCUUUUAGCUAUCACUUAUAGAUGGGCCCGCGGCGCAUUAGCUAGUUGGUGAGAUAAAAGCUCACCAAGGCAACGAUGCGUAGCCGACCUGAGAGGGUGAUCGGCCACACUGGGACUGAGACACGGCCCAGACUCCUACGGGAGGCAGCAGUAGGGAAUCUUCCGCAAUGGACGAAAGUCUGACGGAGCAACGCCGCGUGAACGAAGAAGGUUCUCGGAUCGUAAAGUUCUGUUGUUAGGGAAGAACACGUACCAUUCGAAUAGGGUGGUACCUUGACGGUACCUAACGAGAAAGCCCCGGCUAACUACGUGCCAGCAGCCGCGGUAAUACGUAGGGGGCAAGCGUUGUCCGGAAUUAUUGGGCGUAAAGCGCUCGCAGGCGGUUUUUUAAGUCUGAUGUGAAAUCUUGCGGCUCAACCGCAAGCGGUCAUUGGAAACUGGAGAACUUGAGGACAGAAGAGGAGAGUGGAAUUCCACGUGUAGCGGUGAAAUGCGUAGAGAUGUGGAGGAACACCAGUGGCGAAGGCGACUCUCUGGUCUGUAACUGACGCUGAGGAGCGAAAGCGUGGGUAGCGAACAGGAUUAGAUACCCUGGUAGUCCACGCCGUAAACGAUGAGUGCUAGGUGUUAGGGGGUUUCCGCCCCUUAGUGCUGGCGUUAACGCAUUAAGCACUCCGCCUGGGGAGUACGGCCGCAAGGCUGAAACUCAAA